GCUGAGGAUGGAGCUCAGUGGGAGAGUUCAGGCCUAGCAAGUGUGAAGCCCUGGGUUCCACCCCCAGCUCUGCA
Molecule: transfer RNA, 74 nt
Filed under: Marmota monax (woodchuck)
Lineage: Eukaryota; Metazoa; Chordata; Mammalia; Rodentia; Sciuridae
Description: tRNA.Ala
Source: RNAcentral